Molecule: unclassified non-coding RNA, 378 nt
Filed under: plant metagenome
Description: partial contains 5.8S ribosomal RNA, internal transcribed spacer 2, and large subunit ribosomal RNA
Rfam family: 5.8S ribosomal RNA (bases 1-105)
Source: RNAcentral
GAAAUGCGGUAAGUAAUGUGAAUUGCAGAAUUCAGUGAAUCAUCGAAUCUUUGAACGCACCUUGCGCUCCUUGGUAUUCCUUGGAGCAUGCCUGUUUGAGUAUCAUGAAAUCUUCAAAGUAAAUCUUUUGUUAACUCAAUUGGUUUCUACUUUGGUAUUGGAGGUCUUUGCAGCUUCACACCUGCUCCUCUUUGUUCAUUAGCUGGAUCUCUGUGUUAUGCUUGGUUCCACUCGGCGUGAUAAGUUAUCUAUCGCUGAGGACACUGUAAAAGGUGGCCAAGGUAAAUGCAGAUGAACCGCUUCUAAUAGUCCAUUGACUUGGACAAUACUUUUAUGAUCUGAUCUCAAAUCAGGUAGGACUACCCGCUGAACUUAAGC